Eucalyptus grandis is the source of this 1029-nucleotide RNA transcript. It is a transcript of the gene named beta-galactosidase 10-like, with no coding region annotated. NCBI's taxonomy places the organism in Eukaryota, Viridiplantae, Streptophyta, Magnoliopsida, Myrtales, Myrtaceae. The record is from RefSeq and is a predicted model, not a curated record. The transcript has 4 exons.
UCUCGAGACAGCAACAACCAUUGUGGCUCUCAUCCUAUUUUCAUUUCUCACGUCCUGUUUCGCAGCGAACGUGACGUACGAACGUCAGUCGCUCAUCAUCGAUGGGCAGAGGAAGCUCUUCAUCUCUGCUUCGAUUCAUUAUCCUCGCAGCGUUCCUGGGAUGUGGCCCAGACUGGUUUGGCUGGCCAAAGAAGGCGGAGCAAAUACGAUCGAAUCGUAUGUGUUUCGGAAUGGUCAUGAACCUUCUCAAGGCAAUUAUUGCUUCGAAGAUAGAUAUGAUCUUGUCAAGCUCGUGAAGAUAGUGCAGAAUGCAGGGAUGUACAUGAUUCUCCGAAUUGGCCCCUUUAUCACAGCUGAAUGGAACUUUGGUAUCACAUGAAGAAAUUCGUGUGUUCAUAGUGAAACUGAUGAAGAAGGAAAAGCUUUAUGCUUUGCAAGGAGGUCCUAUCAUCUUAGCCCAGGCAAGUUAUUUUCAUACAAGUAUAAUGAUAAUGACAAGAGUUUCAAAGUUUUGAUGGUGGUAGUACGUUAUUUGUGAGUCCUUUCUUGUUUUCAAACUUUCACAUUGCGGUUCUUUUUAUCUUCAUAAGUCUGAUCAGCCUCUAACUAGUGGGUGAGACAUGCAUCUCUCACUGCAGGUAGAAAAUGAAUAUGGAUACAAUGUACAAUAAUACGGCGAGGCGAAGCCACAUGUCAUGUGGGCUGCGAGGAUGGCAGUCUCUCAAAAUACUGUUGUUCCAUGGGUUAUGUGCCAACAGCCCAAUGCUCCUGAAUAUAUCGCAAGAGUUUCAUCAUUUUUUACCUCUUCCACAAUGUGUCAUGGGUAGAUAUUUGUGCAUUGUAGCAUUUGUACGCAGGAAAAUGAUAACUAUAUAUUUUGCUUUUGAUGUGGAGACUUCUGACAUCUGCUCUCUGAUGUUUUCUGAUUUUGAGGACAUUAUUGAGACUAAUUUCUACUUGAAGUAGCCUUAUUCACUGUUUUUUGGGCAUGGUGAAAGAAAGACUUGUUUCAUCAACAUUCAUCUUUAA